Molecule: ribosomal RNA, 492 nt
Filed under: uncultured bacterium
Lineage: Bacteria
Description: partial 16S ribosomal RNA
Rfam family: Bacterial small subunit ribosomal RNA
Source: RNAcentral
AGUGAACGCUGGCGGUAGGCCUAACACAUGCAAGUCGAACGGCAGCACAGUAAGAGCUUGCUCUUACGGGUGGUGAGUGGCGGACGGGUGAGGAAUACAUCGGAAUCUACUUUUUCGUGGGGGAUAACGUAGGGAAACUUACGCUAAUACCGCAUACGACCUACGGGUGAAAGCAGGGGAUCUUCGGACCUUGCGCGAUUGAAUGAGCCGAUGUCGGAUUAGCUAGUUGGCGGGGUAAAGGCCCACCAAGGCGACGAUCCGUAGCUGGUCUGAGAGGAUGAUCAGCCACACUGGAACUGAGACACGGUCCAGACUCCUACGGGAGGCAGCAGUGGGGAAUAUUGGACAAUGGGCGCAAGCCUGAUCCAGCCAUACCGCGUGGGUGAAGAAGGCCUUCGGGUUGUAAAGCCCUUUUGUUGGGAAAGAAAAGCAGCAGGUUAAUACCCCGCUGCUCUGACGGUACCCAAAGAAUAAGCACCGGCUAACUUCGUG